GACGAACGCUGGCGGCGUGCUUAACACAUGCAAGUCGAACGGAAAGGCCCUGCUUUUGUGGGGUGCUCGAGUGGCGAACGGGUGAGUAACACGUGAGUAACCUGCCCUUGACUUUGGGAUAACUUCAGGAAACUGGGGCUAAUACCGGAUAGGAGCUCCUGCUGCAUGGUGGGGGUUGGAAAGUUUCGGCGGUUGGGGAUGGACUCGCGGCUUAUCAGCCUGUUGGUGGGGUAGUGGCUUACCAAGGCUUUGACGGGUAGCCGGCCUGGGAGGGUGACCGGGCACAAUGGUACUGCGGUACGGCCCAGAAGCCUACGGGAGGCAGCAGUGGGGAAUAUGGCGCAAUGGGCGGACGCCUGAUGCAGCAGCGCCGCGUGCGGGAUGACGGCCUUCGGGUUGUAAACCGCUUUCGCAUGUGACGAAGCGUGAGUGACGGUAAUGGGUAAAGAAGCACCGGCUAACUACGUG
RNAcentral lists this ribosomal RNA (468 nucleotides) under uncultured bacterium. Its description in RNAcentral is "partial 16S ribosomal RNA". It matches the Rfam family "Bacterial small subunit ribosomal RNA", at positions 28 to 507 of the family's 1533-position model. The record is from RNAcentral.